AUUUUUCCCAUUAUUUUUUUCCAUUUUUUCCCAACUUUUGGGGUUUUUUAUUUUUUUGUUUUCUCUUUUUUUUUGGGGAAUUUUUCCCUUCAAUGAACAAAACUUGAGAACGAAUCCAAUAAAAACUUUGGAGCUUUAAAAUUUGGGAAUUUCGGUUUUUGGGAAGGGACCAAAAUUUGGGAUUUGGGAUUUGGGGGGGGGAAUUUGGGGCAACUCCGAGGAAAUUCAGCCCCAAACUGGGAGCACUGGGAGGGUCCCAGUUCCAAACUGGGAGCACUGGGACAGUUCCAGUCCCAAACUGGGAGGGUCCCAGGCCCAUACUGGUGUUACUGGUGUUACUGGGAGGUCACUGGGAGGGUCCCAGUUCCAAACUGGGAGCACUGGGAUGAUCCCAGUCCCAAACUGGUGUUACUGGGAGGCUCCUAGUCCCAAACUGGGACACUCCCAGUGCCGUACUGGUCUGUACUGGUGUCAGUGGUGUUACUGGGACCAUCCCAGUCCUGUACUGGUUCAUACUGGUGUUACUGGGAGGUCACUGGGAUGAUCCCAGUCCCAAACUGGGACACUCCCAGUCCCAUACUGGUGUUACUGGGACCC
RNAcentral lists this long non-coding RNA (597 nucleotides) under Zonotrichia albicollis (white-throated sparrow). RNAcentral describes it as "lncRNA (ENSZALG00000000663.1)". The record is from RNAcentral. Lineage: Eukaryota; Metazoa; Chordata; Aves; Passeriformes; Passerellidae.